GACGAACGCUGGCGGCGUGCUUAACACAUGCAAGUCGAGCGGUAAGGCCCUUUCGGGGGUACACGAGCGGCGAACGGGUGAGUAACACGUGGGUGACCUGCCCUCAGCUCUGGGAUAAGCCUGGGAAACCGGGUCUAAUACUGGAUAUGACUCCAUGACGCAUGUUGUGGGGUGGAAAGCCUUGUGCGGCUGAGGAUGGGCCCGCGGCCUAUCAGCUUGUUGGUGGGGUGANGGCCUACCAAGGCGACGACGGGUAGCCGGCCUGAGAGGGCGACCGGCCACACUGGGACUGAGACACGGCCCAGACUCCUACGGGAGGCAGCAGUGGGGAAUUUUGGACAAUGGGGGCAACCCUGAUCCAGCCAUGCCGCGUGCGGGAAGAAGG
Molecule: ribosomal RNA, 385 nt
Filed under: uncultured bacterium
Lineage: Bacteria
Description: bacterial SSU rRNA
Rfam family: Bacterial small subunit ribosomal RNA
Source: RNAcentral